This 23-nucleotide microRNA is filed under the name Gadus morhua (Atlantic cod). RNAcentral describes it as "Gmo-Mir-24-P4a_5p* (star (passenger))". The record is from RNAcentral. Lineage: Eukaryota; Metazoa; Chordata; Actinopteri; Gadiformes; Gadidae. RNAcentral also lists the same sequence under 2 other names.
GUGCCUACUGAACUGGUAUCAGU